This is a long non-coding RNA of Talpa occidentalis (Iberian mole), 322 nucleotides long. RefSeq lists it as uncharacterized. Lineage: Eukaryota; Metazoa; Chordata; Mammalia; Eulipotyphla; Talpidae. The record is from RefSeq and is a predicted model, not a curated record. The transcript has 3 exons.
AGGACUCAGAGAUUGUCGUGGUGAGGAGGCUGGCAGCACGCCAGCCCCACCACCCCAUGUCCCUCUGCCUCCCUAGCCCUUCCUGGGCUGGCUUGCAUCCCAGGUGGUGAUUUUCAGCUGUCUUCACAAAUCAUGUCCAAGUGUGGGUGAACUAUGGCUGAUGGUCCUGAGAAGGGGCAGACCCAUGUUUCCGAGCUGCAGCUGAUGGCCCUGAUCUCACAAGUGAAAAUAAAAGUUUCUGCAGAAUCCACUAUUUGCCUGAAAUCUCAGUCUCGUGGAUUAUCCCAGUUAUGAACAGGCACUCAGAGGCUGUGGUGAAGAC